This 323-nucleotide long non-coding RNA is filed under the name Actinidia chinensis (golden kiwifruit). RNAcentral describes it as "long non-coding RNA (ACHI_LNC003869)". Lineage: Eukaryota; Viridiplantae; Streptophyta; Magnoliopsida; Ericales; Actinidiaceae. The record is from RNAcentral.
GAGUCAUAAGAGUUGGUAUUAGGUCAAAGUUUGGUUUUUGUGACAUUUUAUUUAUCCAUUGAUUGACAAUAUGCAUUUUAGGAAAUCCGUAGGAUACUCCCAAUUCAUGCAUUAUUAGGAUGUGUUUGGAUUAAAAUUUUGGUGGGAGAAAAGGAAAAAAAAAAGAAAAACUUUAGAGGAUUCAAUAAUUCACGACAAUUGAAUUUUUUAAUUUUUUAAUAUUUUUUUUCCUCAGCUAACCCUUAGACUGUGUUUGGAUUUCGAAUUUGUUAAAAAAAAUAAUAUAAAAAUAAAAAAAAAAUUAGACAAUCUAACUGUUCAGG